This 91-nucleotide transfer RNA is filed under the name Marixanthomonas ophiurae. RNAcentral's name for it is "tRNA-Ser". It matches the Rfam family "tRNA". From Rfam's summary of the family: Transfer RNA (tRNA) molecules are approximately 80 nucleotides in length. Their secondary structure includes four short double-helical elements and three loops (D, anti-codon, and T loops). RNAcentral also lists the same sequence under 9 other names. Lineage: Bacteria; Pseudomonadati; Bacteroidota; Flavobacteriia; Flavobacteriales; Flavobacteriaceae. The record is from RNAcentral.
AGAGAGGUGGCCGAGUGGUCGAAGGCGCACGCCUGGAAAGUGUGUAUACGCCAAAAGCGUAUCGAGGGUUCGAAUCCCUUCCUCUCUGCUA